GGUCCCAUCGUCUAAGGGUUAGGACACCACCCUUUCAAGGUGAGAAUCGGGGUUCGAAUCCCCGUGGGACUGCCA
This 75-nucleotide transfer RNA is filed under the name Rickettsiales bacterium. RNAcentral's name for it is "tRNA-Glu". It matches the Rfam family "tRNA". Rfam says of the family: Transfer RNA (tRNA) molecules are approximately 80 nucleotides in length. The record is from RNAcentral. Lineage: Bacteria; Pseudomonadati; Pseudomonadota; Alphaproteobacteria; Rickettsiales.